CCACCACUUGGGGAUAACCUUGCGAAAGUAAGACUAAUACCCAAUGACGUCUCUAGAAGACAUCUGAAAGAGAUUAAAGAUUUAUCGGUGAUGGAUGGGGAUGCGUCUGAUUAGCUUGUUGGCGGGGUAACGGCCCACCAAGGCGACGAUCAGUAGGGGUUCUGAGAGGAAGGUCCCCCACAUUGGAACUGAGACACGGUCCAAACUCCUACGGGAGGCAGCAGUGAGGAAUAUUGGUCAAUGGACGAGAGUCUGAACCAGCCAAGUAGCGUGCAGGAUGACGGCCCUAUGGGUUGUAAACUGCUUUUAUAAGGGAAUAAAGUGAGUCUCGUGAGACUUUUUGCAUGUACCUUAUGAAUAAGGACCGGCUAAUUCCGUG
RNAcentral lists this ribosomal RNA (379 nucleotides) under uncultured bacterium. RNAcentral's name for it is "bacterial SSU rRNA". It matches the Rfam family "Bacterial small subunit ribosomal RNA", at positions 130 to 507 of the family's 1533-position model. The record is from RNAcentral.